Molecule: ribosomal RNA, 448 nt
Filed under: uncultured bacterium
Lineage: Bacteria
Description: bacterial SSU rRNA
Rfam family: Bacterial small subunit ribosomal RNA
Source: RNAcentral
CAGGGAAUCUUGCACAAUGGGCGAAAGCCUGAUGCAGCGACGCCGCGUGGGGGAUGAAGGCCUUAGGGUCGUAAACCCCUUUCAGCAGGGACGAAAAUGACGGUACCUGCAGAAGAAGCCCCGGCCAACUACGUGCCAGCAGCCGCGGUAAGACGUAGGGGGCGAGCGUUGUCCGGAUUUAUUGGGCGUAAAGAGCUCGUAGGCGGUUGCGUAAGUCGGAUGUGAAAACUCAGGGCUCAACCCUGAGACGCCAUCCGAUACUGCGCUGACUUGAAUCCAGUAGGGGAGUGUGGAAUUCCUGGUGUAGCGGUGAAAUGCGCAGAUAUCAGGAGGAACACCCAUGGCGAAGGCAGCACUCUGGGCUGGUAUUGACGCUGAGGAGCGAAAGCAUGGGUAGCGAACAGGAUUAGAUACCCAUGUAGUCCCUGAGCGGGCUGGCAAGGCGCAU